This 253-nucleotide ribosomal RNA is filed under the name uncultured bacterium. RNAcentral's name for it is "partial 16S ribosomal RNA". It matches the Rfam family "Bacterial small subunit ribosomal RNA", at positions 524 to 776 of the family's 1533-position model. The record is from RNAcentral.
UACGAAGGGUGCAAACGUUGCUCGGAAUUAUUGGGCGUAAAGCGCACGUAGGCGGCUUGGCAAGUCGGAUGUGAAAUCCCUCGGCUCAACCAAGGAAGUGCAUCCGAAACUGCUGAGCUUGAGUACUUAAGAGGAUCGCGGAAUUCCCGGUGUAGAGGUGAAAUGCGUAGAUAUCGCUUGGAACGCCGACGGCGAAAGCAGUCUGCUGGGGGUGUGCUGACGCUGAGACACGAAAGCCAGGGGAGCGAACGGG